UUCUGAAAAGAAGACCUGUGAUCUUAAUCAUGUCCAGCAACGCAUGGCAGAGAAGAGGACAAUAGAGUCCAAAAUUAACUGAAGACUUGAGAGUCUAUGAGUCUUUGCUGAUUGAAGAGCUUCAAGCAUCCUUAUAGCUUCCUUGGCAAGGGACGAGCCUGCGCUCAACAGAAUAGAGGAGACUUGGGAGUCAUGGGCUUCACCCUUUCCAUUGAUAGAUCACUCAAAACCUCCACUUUUUAAAGUUUUGAACCACAUUCCAUUCACCGAAUCAGUCGGAAGGAUUUAAACAUGAACAGUUAGGGACCCUACAGCUACAAACUCAGAGGCAACAAAGCCUCGCUUUAUGAAGUCUGAAAGCUGUGAAGAGGACCACCACUGCCAAAUGAGUAAACCUGAAACAAUUGGAACCAAAAUCACCAAGGCAAAGGUCCAAAUAACCUCAUACAGCGGUAACAAACUGGUACACCACAGUGUAAUAUCCUCAUACUGAGGUAAAUAGAGUUUCAUAAUGAAACUCACAGAGCCUGCAACAUCCUCAAACUGAGGUAAAAAGAGCUUCAAAAAGAGCACAUCAUCCUCAUUCCAACGUAAAAGGAGACUCUUAUUAAGAUAAUUAAACCCUAACAAAAGACAAGGUUCUAAGAUAAGUGAUUUACUCCAAUAGACUGAGAAACCCAAACCUUGUGGACGCUUGAUGAGGAAUUAAAGAAAAAGAAAAAUAUCAAUUAAUAGAAGAUAUGUCUCCUAAAUAGGGGCUGGAACCGUGUCUUAGAAGACACGUGUUACCAUUGUAUGAGAAGGGAAAUCUCCUUUCUCUCUCUCUCUCUCUCUCAUCAAGCAAUCCCCUUUCUCCCUCUCUCUCAUCAAUGCAGAGGAGGCGACGAUCUACGCGACGAACCCUCGUGAGAUAGAGAGGGACAGUGAAAGGGACUCAUGUGUAGAUUAAACGGGAGCCAAAAGGUUGUGUAACAUCUCUUAUUGAACAAGGAUGCGCAAGUGUAUCUGUUGUACAUGUCAGAUACAAGACUCCAAUGAAAAGGAAAACUUGAAAUCUUCUCAGCAGCAAUCCAAUGCGGUUGCUCUGAAGAAACUUGAUGUCGCACCUAAAGCUGAAUCAGAUGAUGAGUUCUUGAGUUUUCAUGGUGUCUAGACUCAAGCAUGAGAAUCUCAUUCAACUACUUGGUUUUUGUGUUGAUGGAAACCUCCGAGUCCUGGCAUAUGAGUUUGCAGCAAUGGGAUCCUUGCAUGAUAUCUUACAUGGUAGGAAGGGAGUUCAAGGAGCACGAGCUCUUGUAUUAUUGUCUGAAUAGAACUUUUGUAUUCUUGUGUAUUAUCAGUCACAGACUUGUGUAAAGUCAUGCAAGUGUCAUGUAUCAUUUCAAAGUCCAUAGAGUUGUGUUAAAGUUUCUAUAUAACUUCACAAUACUCUUGUUCUCUCUUUAACAUAACU
Molecule: long non-coding RNA, 1453 nt
Organism: Brassica oleracea var. oleracea
Lineage: Eukaryota; Viridiplantae; Streptophyta; Magnoliopsida; Brassicales; Brassicaceae
Exons: 5
Source: RefSeq, a predicted model, not a curated record